ACUGCUCAGUAACACGUGGAUAACCUGCCCUAAGGAAGGGGAUAACCUCGGGAAACUGAGGAUAAUACCCUAUAGGUUACAGACGCUGGAAUGCCCUGUAACCGAAAGUUCCGGCGCCUUAGGAUGGAUCUGCGGCCGAUUAGGUUGUUGUUGGGGUAACGGCCCAACAAGCCGAUAAUCGGUACGGGUUGUGGGAGCAAGAGCCCGGAGUUGGAUUCUGAGACAUGAAUCCAGGCCCUACGGGGCGCAGCAGGCGCGAAAACUUUACAAUGCGGGAAACCGUGAUAAGGGAACCCCGAGUGCCUGUAUAUGCAGGCUGUCCAGGUGUCUAAAAAACACCUGAAGAAAGGGCCGGGCAAGACCGGUGCCAGCCGCCGCGGUAAUACCGGCGGCUCGAGUGGUGGCCACUUUUAUUGGGCUUAAAGCGUUCGUAGCUGGGUUGUUAAGUCUCUUGGGAAAUCUGACGGCUCAACCGUCAGGCGUCCAAGGGAUACUGGCAAUCUUGGAACCGGGAGAGGUGAGGGGUACUUCGGGGGUAGGAGUGAAAUCCUGUAAUCCUCGAGGGACCACCUGUGGCGAAGGCGCCUCACCAGAACGGCUUCGACAGUGAGGGACGAAAGCUGGGGGAGCAAACCGGAUUAGAUACCCGGGUAGUCCCAGCUGUAAACGAUGCGCGUUAGGUGUAUCGGUGACCACGAGUCACCGAGGUGCCGAAGGGAAACCGUGAAACGUGCCGCCUGGGAAGUACGGUCGCAAGGCUGAAACUUAAAGGAAUUGGCGGGGGAGCAC
This 789-nucleotide ribosomal RNA is filed under the name Methanoculleus sp. enrichment culture clone L35A_26. Its description in RNAcentral is "bacterial SSU rRNA". It matches the Rfam family "Archaeal small subunit ribosomal RNA", at positions 85 to 879 of the family's 1478-position model. The record is from RNAcentral. Lineage: Archaea; Methanobacteriati; Methanobacteriota; Methanomicrobia; Methanomicrobiales; Methanomicrobiaceae.